Molecule: ribosomal RNA, 182 nt
Filed under: Myotis sodalis (Indiana bat)
Lineage: Eukaryota; Metazoa; Chordata; Mammalia; Chiroptera; Vespertilionidae
Description: partial 16S ribosomal RNA
Source: RNAcentral
AGAAGCAAUAAUGUUAAUAUGAGUAACAAGAAAAUUUUCUCCCUGCAUGAGUGUAUAUCAGAACGAAUGAUGCACUGGUAGUUAACAAAUACAGACAUAACUAGCUAACUAAAAUCUUAAUACAACUGUAGUCCAACACAGGCAUGCACCCAGGAAGAUAAAAGAAGUAAAAGGAACUCGGC